GACGAACGCUGGCGGCGUGCUUAACACAUGCAAGUCGAACGGAAAGGCUCCUUGCUUGCAAGGGGUACUCGAGUGGCGAACGGGUGAGUAACACGUGGGUGAUCUGCCUUGCACUUCGGGAUAAGCCUGGGAAACUGGGUCUAAUACCGGAUAGGACCAUGCUUUAGUGUGUGUGGUGGAAAGUUUUUUCGGUGCAAGAUGAGCCCGCGGCCUAUCAGCUUGUUGGUGGGGUAAUGGCCUACCAAGGCGACGACGGGUAGCCGGCCUGAGAGGGUGUACGGCCACAUUGGGACUGAGACACGGCCCAGACUCCUACGGGAGGCAGCAGUGGGGAAUAUUGCACAAUGGGCGCAAGCCUGAUGCAGCGACGCCGCGUGGGGGAUGACGGCCUUCGGGUUGUAAACUCCUUUCGCUAGGGAAGAAGCCACUGUGUAGUGACGGUACCUGGAUAAGAAGCACCGGCUAACUACGUGCCAGCAGCCGCGGUAAUACGUAGGGUGCGAGCGUUGUCCGGAAUUACUGGGCGUAAAGAGCUCGUAGGUGGUUUGUCGCGUCGUCUGUGAAAUCCCGGGGCUUAACUUCGGGCGUGCAGGCGAUACGGGCAUAACUAGAGUGCUGUAGGGGAGACUGGAAUUCCUGGUGUAGCGGUGAAAUGCGCAGAUAUCAGGAGGAACACCGAUGGCGAAGGCAGGUCUCUGGGCAGUUACUGA
Molecule: ribosomal RNA, 710 nt
Filed under: uncultured Corynebacterium sp. MT13M86
Lineage: Bacteria; Bacillati; Actinomycetota; Actinomycetes; Mycobacteriales; Corynebacteriaceae
Description: bacterial SSU rRNA
Rfam family: Bacterial small subunit ribosomal RNA
Source: RNAcentral